RNAcentral lists this ribosomal RNA (252 nucleotides) under uncultured bacterium. RNAcentral's name for it is "partial 16S ribosomal RNA". It matches the Rfam family "Bacterial small subunit ribosomal RNA", at positions 524 to 776 of the family's 1533-position model. The record is from RNAcentral.
UACGUAGGGGGCAAGCGUUGUCCGGAAUCAUUGGGCGUAAAGCGCGUGUAGGCGGCCUUGUAAGUCUGUUCUGAAAGCCCGGGGCUCAACCCCGGGAGGCGGAUGGAUACUGCAAGGCUCGAGUACGGAAGAGGCGAGUGGAAUCCCGGUGUAGCGGUGAAAUGCGCAGAUAUCGGGAGGAACACCAAUGGCGAAGGCAGCUCGCUGGGACGUUACUGACGCUGAGACGCGAAAGCGUGGGGAGCAAACAGG